GCGCCGGGUGCGCCCGGCCGCCCGUCCGUCGGCGCAACGAACCAACCCCGGCGCAGGACGCGCCAAGGAACCGAAAAAAUAGAGCAGGGGGAGACCCCCCGUCGCGAGACGGGGGCGUCGUCCUCCCGUAUCGAGUCAAAACGACUCUCGGCAACGGAUA
RNAcentral lists this ribosomal RNA (160 nucleotides) under Calophyllum brasiliense. RNAcentral describes it as "5.8S ribosomal RNA". Lineage: Eukaryota; Viridiplantae; Streptophyta; Magnoliopsida; Malpighiales; Calophyllaceae. The record is from RNAcentral.